GACCGCGUAGCUCAGUUGGAAGAGCAUUGGGCUAGUAUUCCAAAGGUCGUAGGUUCGAAUCCUACUGUGGCCG
This is a non-coding RNA of Paramuricea clavata, 73 nucleotides long. The record is from the annotation of a GenBank genome assembly. Lineage: Eukaryota; Metazoa; Cnidaria; Anthozoa; Malacalcyonacea; Plexauridae.